AUGACCAGGGAUGUUCUCUGUUUAGUGAGUCCGCCAGAUCAGAGGCAGUAGGGAUGGCCAGGGAUGUUCUCUGUUUAGUGAGUCCUCCAGAUCAGAGGCAGUAGGGAUGACCAGGGAUGUUCUCUGUUUAGUGAGUCCUCCAGAUCAGAGGCAGUAGGGAUGACCAGGGAUGUUCUCUGUUUAGUGAGUCCUCCAGAUCAGAGGCAGUAGGGAUGACCAGGGAUGUCCUCUGUUUAGUGAGUCCUCCAGAUCAGAGGCAGUAGGGAUGACCAGGGAUGUUCUCUGUUUAGUGAGUCCAUCAGAUCAGAGGCAGUAGGAUGACCAGAGAUGUUCUCUGGUUAGUGAGUCCUCCAGAUCAGAGGCAGUAGGGAUGACCAGGGAUGUUCUCUGUUUAGUGAGUCCCCAGAUCAGAGGCAGUAGGGAUGACCAGGGAUGUUCUCUGUUUAGUGAGUCCAUCAGAUCAGAGACAGUAGGGAUGUCCAGGGAUGUUCUCUGUUUAGUGAGUCCGUCAGAUCAGAGGCAGUAGGGAUGACCAGGGAUGUUCUCUGUUUAGUGAGUCCAUCAGAUCAGAGGCAGUAGGGAUGACCAGGGAUGUUCUCUGUUUAGUGAGUCCGUCAGAUCAGAGGCAGUAGGGAUGACCAGGGAUGUCCUCUUGAUAAGUGUGUGAAUUGGACCAUUUUGCUGUCCUGCCUGAGCAUUUGAAAUGUAACGAGUACUUUUGGGUGUCAGGAAAAAUGUAUGGAGUAAAAAGCACAUUAUUUUCAUUAGGAAUGUAGUGAAGAAAAAGUAAAUAGAAAGUAUAUAUAAAUAGUAAAGUAAAGUACAGAUACCCCCAAAAACUACUUAAGUAAUACUUUAAAGUAUUUUUACUUCAGUACUUUACACCCCUUAUUUUCUGCUCAGACCAGCCUGCAGAAAACACAGAUCACAGAAACAACCAAAAAGCCUUUCCUUUCCUCCACCAUGACACACAGCCUGCAUCCCAAAUCUUUUCCUAUUUAUUUAAUUUAACCUUUAUUUAACUAGGCAAGUCAGUUAAG
RNAcentral lists this long non-coding RNA (1040 nucleotides) under Salmo salar (Atlantic salmon). RNAcentral's name for it is "lncRNA (ENSSSAG00000098057.1)". The record is from RNAcentral. Lineage: Eukaryota; Metazoa; Chordata; Actinopteri; Salmoniformes; Salmonidae.